UAAUACGGAGGUGGCAAGCGUUGUUCGGAUUGAUUGGGUGUAAAGGGCAUGUAGGCGUCCUGGUAAGUUGAACGUGAAAUCCCGUAGCUCAACUACGGAAUUGCAUUCAAAACUGCCGGGAUUGAGUACGGAAGGGGAGAAUGGAAUUCCCGGUGUAAGGGUGAAAUCUGUAGAUAUCGGGAGGAACACCAGUAGCGAAGGCGGUUCUCUGGGCCGAUACUGACGCUGAAAUGCGAAAGCUAGAGGAGCAAACAGGAUUAGAUACCCUGGUAGUUCUAGCCGUAAACGAUGGGCACUAGGUGUAGGCUCGCAAGAGUCUGUGCCGCAGUUAACGCGUUAAGUGCCCCACCUGGGGAGUACGUCGGCAACGAUG
RNAcentral lists this ribosomal RNA (373 nucleotides) under uncultured bacterium. RNAcentral's name for it is "bacterial SSU rRNA". It matches the Rfam family "Bacterial small subunit ribosomal RNA", at positions 521 to 896 of the family's 1533-position model. The record is from RNAcentral.